Molecule: RNA transcript, 1371 nt
Organism: Nycticebus coucang (slow loris)
Lineage: Eukaryota; Metazoa; Chordata; Mammalia; Primates; Lorisidae
Gene name: heterogeneous nuclear ribonucleoprotein A1-like
Exons: 1
Source: RefSeq, a predicted model, not a curated record
AUGUCUAAGUCAGAGUCUCCUCAAGAGCCUGAACAGCUGCGGAAGCUCUUCCUUGGAGGGUUGAGCUUUGAAAAGACUGAUGAGAGUCUGAGGAGCCAUUCUGAGCAAUGGGGAACGCUCACAGACUGCGUGGUAAUGAGAGAUCCAAACACCAAGCGCUCCAGGGGCUUUGGGUUUGUCACUUAGGCCACUGUGGAGGAGGUGGAUGCAACAGUGAAUGCAAGGCCACACAAGGUGGAUGGGAGAGUCGUGGAACCAAAGAGAGCUGGUUCCUGACCACCAGAGAAGAUUCUCAAAGACCUGGUGCCCACUUGACUGUGAGAAAGAUCUUUGUGGGUGGCAUUAAAGAAGAUACUGAAGAACAUCACUUAAGAAACUAUUUUGAACAGUAUGGGAAAAUUGAAGUGAUUGAAAUCAUGACUGACCAAGGCAGUGGCAAGAAGAGGGGCUUUGCUUUUGUUACGUUUGAUGACCAUGAUUCUGUGGAUAAGAUUGUCAUUCAGAAAUACCAUACCGUGAAUGGCCACAACUGUGAAGUAAGGAAAGCCCUGUCAAAGCAAGAGAUGGCUAGUGCUUCGUCCAGCCAAAGAGGUCGAAGUGGUUCUGGAAACUUUGGUGGGGGUCGUGGAGGUGGUUUUGGUGGAAAUGACAACUUUGGCCAUGGAGGAAACUUCAGUGGUCGUGGUGGCUUUGGUGGCAGCUGUGGUGGCAGUGGGGAUGGCUACAAUGGAUUUGGUAAUGAUGGAAGCAAUUUUGGAGAAGUUACAAUGAUUUUGGCGAUUACAACAGUCGGUCAUCAAAUUUUGGACCCAUGAAGGGAGGAAAUUUUGGAGGCAGAAGCUCUGGCCCUUAUGGUGGUGGCGGCCAAUACUUUGCCAAACCACGAAACCAAGGUGGCUAUGGUGGUUCCAGUAGCAGUAGUAGCUAUGGCAGGGGCAGAAGGUUUUAAUUAUUCCCAGGAAACAAAGCUUAGCAGGAGAGGAGAGCCAGAGAAGUGAUAGGGAAGCUACAGGUUACAACAGAUUUGUGAACUCAGCCAAGCACAGUGGUGGCGGGGCCUAGCUGCUACACAGAAGACAUGUUUUAGACAAUACUCAUGUGUAUGGGCAAAAAACUCGAGGACUGUAUUUGUGACUAAUUAUAUAACAGGUUAUUUUAGUUUCUGUUCUGUGGAAAGUGUAAAGCAUUCCAACAAAGGGUUUUAAUGUAGAUUUUUUUUUUUUUGCACCCAUGCUGUUGAUUGCUAAAUGUAAUAGUCUGAUCAUGACGCUGAAUAAAUGUGUCUUUUUUUUUAAAUGUGCUGUGUAAAGUUAGUCUACUCUGAAGCCAUUUUGGUAAACUUUCCAAAAGUGUGAAGCUAGAAUUUCUUCA